GAUGAACGCUGGCGGCGUGCCUAAUACAUGCAAGUCGAGCGAACAGACGAGGAUCUUGCUCCUCUGACGUUAGCGGCGGACGGGUGAGUAACACGUGGAUAACCUACCUAUAAGACUGGGAUAACUUCGGGGAACCGGAGCUAAUACCGGAUAAUAUAUUGAACCGCAUGGUUCAAUAGUGAAAGACGGUUUUGCUGUCACUUAUAGAUGGAUCCGCGCCGCAUUAGCUAGUUGGUAAGGUAACGGCUUACCAAGGCAACGAUGCGUAGCCGACCUGAGAGGGUGAUCGGCCACACUGGAACUGAGACACGGUCCAGACUCCUACGGGAGGCAGCAGUAGGGAAUCUUCCGCAAUGGGCGAAAGCCUGACGGAGCAACGCCGCGUGAGUGAUGAAGGUCUUCGGAUCGUAAAACUCUGUUAUUAGGGAAGAACAAAUGUGUAAGUAACUAUGCACGUCUUGACGGUACCUAAUGAGAAAGCUACGGCUAACUACGUG
RNAcentral lists this ribosomal RNA (497 nucleotides) under uncultured bacterium. Its description in RNAcentral is "partial 16S ribosomal RNA". It matches the Rfam family "Bacterial small subunit ribosomal RNA", at positions 28 to 507 of the family's 1533-position model. The record is from RNAcentral.